Molecule: long non-coding RNA, 2737 nt
Organism: Numida meleagris (helmeted guineafowl)
Lineage: Eukaryota; Metazoa; Chordata; Aves; Galliformes; Numididae
Exons: 5
Source: RefSeq, a predicted model, not a curated record
CACUUCCCGCAGUGGGAUGCGCCUGGCAGCUGCUGGCCCUGACAGCUGGGCCUGUCUCUGAAGCUCUGCUCGAGUUAUCCGCCAGCAUUCUUAGGGAUGGGCUCAGUCGGGAGCAGCAGGGGUAUCUUCUGACGCUUUUAUGUCACGUAAGCAAAUAAAUAAGAGCACAGAAUCAUCAAAUCAUUAAGAUUAGAAAAGACUUCUAAGGUCGUCGUGUCCGGCCAUCAACCCUUCCCCACCACUGCACUAACCACGUCCCUCAGUGCCACAUCUCCACGGUUCUCAAACACCUCCACGGAUGGUGACUCCGCCAUGUCUGGGCAGCCUGUGUCAGUGCCUCACCUCUCUGAGAAGAGUCACAGACAGUUUACCCUGCUUUCUUACAGUGUUUCUCAAAUACGAGCCUAGCAGUGGAUCAGUCUGGUCUUGGAAUUAAUUACAAAACUACUGCACUAGCAGUUUUCUCCAGGAGUCAGGCUCUGUCUCACACUGUUACAAGGACACUGCGGUGUCCCUGUGCUUUUUUUCCACUCUGUUUUACAGCACCAAUUUGCUAGCAGAAGAACUCUUGGAUGCACGAUUGGUGAAGCGUGGCAGUGGGGCAGCCAGACCAGAUGAUUUCCAGAAGUCCCUUCCAACCCCUAUGAUUCUGCGUGUGACUGGAUCUCCCCCGCCAUGUGUCCUUGACUCCUGCUGUUGAGUUUCACUGCACGUUUCCCAUGUAUCAACCUGUAUCAGGAGGUAUUCCAGUUUCCGUCAGCAUGGAAAACGUCUCCAUGCAUAAGUCCAUUUAAACAUUGGAUGUUGUAUGCUCUAUUCUCAGCGAAGCAACCAUAAAUGAGCACGAGAUCAAUAACAGCAGAAUUAGAAAGGAGUUAUGCUGAGCAAGUUCUUAAACAUACCUCAGAUGUUAGAUAAAUUAAGGAUAUAAGCACACAGCAAUACUUAAAAUUCCUCAUGUUUCUGGAAAACUACAGCUAUUGCUUAUGGAUAAACUAAAACACUUCCUGAGUAGAUCAUACACUGGCAGUUGAUAAGAUGGAAAGUAAAAUCCUGUGUUCAAGCAAGAGCCAGGAUACAAGAUUUCCUAUCUUCUGCAAAUACUAAAAAAGGAAAAAUUGAAACUGUGUUAUCUUGGAGCUGUUUGGGCCUGUGCAUGUGCUGGAGAAAAGAGACUGGACAGUCUGUUUUGACAGCCAUGACAAAAAAACAGAAUACAAGUGAAGAUGGACCUCAGCCAUGACCAGCACAGCCCUUGUUACAAAUACAUCUGCAAUGAAUUUUAACUCUCCACCUCAUGGCAAAUGGAAUGCUAUAGGAAGAGGAGUUGUGCUAGGAACAGAGGAGGAAAUGCUUUUGUAUAUUCAUGCAGCCAAGUUUGAUAAAAAGAUUGCAGGAAUUCUCUGAGAUUGCUAGCUCCUCAAGCAAGAACCUUUCCUGUUGCUCACUGUUUUUAAUCUGAACUUGACUGUUUGUAGUAUUCAUAAAAAUAAGGUAGGUGUAACCACUAUUUUUAUUUAGAAGCUAUAUCAUCUGCUACUUUUGAUGGUUUUUGUUAUACAGUACUUAAAAUUAUUUACUUGAUCAGAAUUCAAAAUGUCCAGUUUUUAUUACAUUAGAAAAUGAUUGAGCAAUCUUUGUUUUGCUGGGAAAUAAUAUUACAACUUUUGCUUUUUUUUUUUUCCUAAGUGAAACUGAAUUAAUCAGUGAAACUGAUAAAACCAAGCUUUUUUUUUUUUUUUUUAAUUAAAAUUACCUUAACCUAGCUGGACUCUCAAAGAGAAAAAAGAAACCUGGAGAGGGACUCUUUAUGAAAGAGUACAGUGAGAGGACAAGGGGCAAUGUCUUUAAGCAAAAAGAGGGUAGAAUUAGAUUAGACGUUAGGAAGAAAUUCUUCACCAUGAGGGUGCUGAUUCACUGGAACAGGUUGCCCAGGGAAGCUGUGGCUGUCACAUUCCUGGUAGCAUUCAAGGCCGGACUGGAUGGGGCUUUGGGCAACCUGGUCUAGCGGAAGGUGUCCCUGCCUAUAGCAGGGGGUUGGAAUUAGACGAUCUUAAAAGUCCCCUCUAAUGCAAACAUUUCUAUGAUUCUAUGACACAAUACAGAUACUUAAUGCAGCACAUAAUAUCAUAGCAUAUUCGCAACUUCAAAGAUCAUUCCAUCAAUUCUAGUCCUACAACCAAAACCCAGAUCCUGUUUCAGCGGUGCAGCGUACUAGUUUAGGGCAAAUGAAAAACACUAUGCAGAUGACUGUCACUUCAUGUUUCUUUUCAAUUUAGAAUUAAUUUUGAAACUCCAACAUUACUUUUAAAGGCAUGACUUAUGAGGAAAACUAUGUUUCAUUUUUGUUUCAAGAAAUUAAACACAGAUUGGUCCUAAUCCAAAAUUACAGGGCAUAGUACUGUAUCUUGCACUACAGAUGUUCGAACAUAGGUAUGGAAAAUAAUGAAAAAGAUGCAUUAAUAUCAGUUCUAAUUCUGACAUGCUAUCCGAAGCUCAUGAUUUGUGAGGGGAAUCAGGACAAAAUUAUGGUUUCUUUUAAGUGUCUGAACAUCCUCUAGAAACACAAUUUAAAAUACAUUUCUCCUCCAAUGCUCUUUUAAUCCUUUAUCAAGGAAUAGUUUUCGAUUCAAAAAGGUGAAGUUUGGAAUUGACUGCAUUUCCCUCCCCUCUUGCUGAUCUUAAAAAAAUACCAGUUUGACUUAUAUCUUGAUAAAAUAAAUGAAGGUGAAACAAA